GCCCAAAAUCUAGCCCUAUUUUAACAAAUGACCACCUAAACUAAAUACACAAACUAAACCAUUUUAUUCUUUUAGUAAAGGCGAUUGAAAAACAUAUUAGAGCUAUAAUUAAAGUACCGCAAGGAAAAGAUGAAAUAAAUAUGAAAUAGACUUAAGCACAAAAAAGCAGAGAUAUAUCCUCGUACCUUUUGCAUCAUGAUUUAACUAGUUUAACCAUGCACAAAGAACUUUAGUUUGACCUCCCGAAACUAGGCGAGCUACUUCGAGGCAGCUUUAUGAGCCCACCCGUCUCUGUUGCAAAAGAGUGGGAAGACCUCCAAGUAGCGGUGACAGACCUAACGAGCCUAGUGAUAGCUGGUUACUUAAGAAAAGGAUCUAAGUCCUACCUAGAGCAUUUUUGAUGCCUCUAAAUACCAUUCAUGCUCUAGAGCUACUCAAAUGAGGUACAGCCCGUUUGAAAUUAGGAUACAACCUACACCAAUGGGUAAUUUUACUUAACUUGUUUAAACAAGUGGGCCUAAGAGCAGCCACCUUUUAGAUUGCGUCAAAGCUCUCCUAAACAAUACCCUAAUUCCAUUAUUUACAAAAAACCCUUCACACGUAUUAAGUUACUCUAUAUUCCCUAUAGAAAUAUUUAUGUUAGAACUAGUAAUAAGAAGACCGACCUUCUCAUAAAUGUAGGUGUAAAUCAGAAGGACAAACCACUGUUAAUUACUCAUCAAUGAACACAAAACAGCAACCUCACUAGAAAACCCUGUUUAUAUUUAUGUUAAUCUGACACCAGCACAUUUCAAGAAAGAUUAAAAGAAAAAGAAGGAACUCGGCAAAUAUUAACCCCGCCUGUUUACCAAAAACAUCGCCUCUUGAUAUCUAUAAGAGGUCCAGCCUGCCCAGUGACGAAGUUCAACGGCCGCGGUAUCCUAACCGUGCGAAGGUAGCGUAAUCACUUGUUCUUUAAAUGAGGACUAGUAUGAAUGGCACCACGAGGGUUAUACUGUCUCCUUUUUCUAAUCAAUGAAACUAAUCUCCCCGUGAAGAAGCGGGGAUAAACUUAUAAGACGAGAAGACCCUAUGGAGCUUUAAACAACAAUAGCACUAGCCUUCAUCUUUACACUUGAGAGAUACAACUAUUAUAUUGGCUAACAUGACUAUUAGUUUUAGGUUGGGGUGACCGCGGAGCAAAAACUAACCUCCACAUUGAACGGAGCUUUCCUGAGCUAAAAGCUACAACUUUAAGCACCAAUAAAUUGACAUCAAUUGACCCAACACGUUGAGCAACGAACCAAGUUACCCUAGGGAUAACAGCGCAAUCCAUUUCAAGAGCCCCCAUCGACAAAUGGGUUUACGACCUCGAUGUUGGAUCAGGGUACCCCAGUGGUGCAGCCGCUACUAAAGGUUCGUUUGUUCAACGAUUAAAACCCU
This 1422-nucleotide ribosomal RNA is filed under the name Dendropsophus walfordi. RNAcentral's name for it is "partial 16S ribosomal RNA". It matches the Rfam family "Bacterial large subunit ribosomal RNA", at positions 135 to 2597 of the family's 2925-position model. The record is from RNAcentral. Lineage: Eukaryota; Metazoa; Chordata; Amphibia; Anura; Hylidae.